CGUGUACCGUGCAGCAUCAGCGUCCAUUCCUUGAUCCAGCCGUGCUGAGGAGUUUGGGAAUUGAAGCUGACCUGAGAAGGAGAAAAGUUCAUGAGACUUUGAGUGAAAAGAUAAAUUCAAGAUAAAGGACGUCAGAUGGCUGUUAUAUUACAAAACGAAGCUGACCUACCUCAAGCAACCAUACCCCUUGGGGAUAUUCGCCCCAAGUGUGAGUCGUCAUGAACGGCCAUUUUGUGAAGCCAUCUCUAUGAUCGUCAUCGUUCACUCUUCUGCUUAGGAUCAUGGAUCUUUCACAGUGAUUCACUUACCUCGUUCCCAUGGGAGACGUAAGGAAAAGUUCCACGUCGCCGCGACGCGUCGCAUUCACCGAAAUGACCGCCUGAACGUGUUCCAAGUAGUUCACGGCGUAAUCCGUGCCGGCACAGGCGUCC
Long non-coding RNA from Cephus cinctus (wheat stem sawfly), 431 nucleotides. RefSeq lists it as uncharacterized. NCBI's taxonomy places the organism in Eukaryota, Metazoa, Arthropoda, Insecta, Hymenoptera, Cephidae. The record is from RefSeq and is a predicted model, not a curated record. The transcript has 3 exons.